This 301-nucleotide ribosomal RNA is filed under the name uncultured bacterium. Its description in RNAcentral is "partial 16S ribosomal RNA". It matches the Rfam family "Bacterial small subunit ribosomal RNA", at positions 509 to 809 of the family's 1533-position model. The record is from RNAcentral.
CAGUAGCCGCGGGAAUACAGAGGAUGCAAGCGUUAUCCGGAAUUAUUGGGCGUAAAGGGCUCGCAGGCGGCUUCUUAAGUCUGAUGUGAAAUCCCCGGGCUCAACCUGGGAACUGCAUUUGUGACUGUAGAGCUGGAGUGCGGCAGAGGGGGAUGGAAUUCCGCGUGUAGCAGUGAAAUGCGUAGAUAUGCGGAGGAACACCGAUGGCGAAGGCAAUCCCCUGGGCCUGCACUGACGCCCAUGCACGAAAGCGUGGGGAGCAAACAGGAUUAGAUACCCCAGUAGUCCCUGUCUCUUAUAU